This 601-nucleotide long non-coding RNA is filed under the name Manduca sexta (tobacco hornworm). RNAcentral's name for it is "uncharacterized LOC115451189". Lineage: Eukaryota; Metazoa; Arthropoda; Insecta; Lepidoptera; Sphingidae. The record is from RNAcentral.
UAUUAUGUCAAAUUUUUUCAUAAACAUAUUUCUAGUAUUUAUUUUUCCACAUUAAAAUAAAAAAUGUUCGACUUUUUCAUUCCAUACAUUUUGUUGGUGUCUGCAUACGCCCACUCCACACAAAUCAUUACACAUAUAAUUUUUUAUCAUUAUGACUUUUUAUUUUUCGUAUAUAUCUUGUUCUAUAGGAUAUUAACUACGAAAAAAAAACGACAACAAUUACAAUUAAUCACCCCGUAUUGUUUAUAUUAACAACUUAAGAGGUGUCCCAAAUUUUAUUCUCUUGUAACACGUCAGUUGUGUAACGCGAUAUUUCCUGGUCUUGUUUAUAAUCUACCAUAAAGAAUUAAUUUAUUUGAAGAGACAAUACUAGCUCAUCGUACUUGACACAUUCCUGAACAAUUCCGCCAUCUUUUUUUCGUGUUAGUUGGAAGAACGUGUUGGAGCAGACUGUUUGUCGUUAAGAAAAGGUUAGUUCGUGUUGUAAAUUACAUCCGUUGUGCGACAGAGUGACACAAAUUGUGCGACGUAUUACAACGGAAAUUAUAAAGGAAAGUGUAGAUUGUAAUAUUUUAGAACAAUUAAAUUUUUGAUCACUACA